GGCGGAAGGGUGAGUAACAGUAUCGAAUGUACCCCGAGGUGGAAGAUAGGCAUGGGAAACUGUGCGUAGUACUCCAUGAUCUCGAGAGAGCAAAGGCGCAAGCCUGCCUUGGGAGCAGCGAUAUUCCUAUCAGGUAGUUGGCGGGGUAAUGGCCCACCAAGCCGAAGACGGGUAGCCGGUAUGAGAGUACGGCCGGGCACAUCGGGACUGAGACACUGCCCGGACUCCUACGGGAGGCUGCAGUAACGAAUAUUCCGCAAUGGGCGAAAGCCUGACGGAGCAAUGCCGCGUGUGGGAUGAAGCGGUUUCGCCGUGUAAACCACUGUCAGGGGAUAGAAAAGAUGAUCAUCUCCAGAGGAAGGGGCGACUAACUCUGUUGCCAGCCGCCGCGG
This 392-nucleotide ribosomal RNA is filed under the name uncultured bacterium. Its description in RNAcentral is "bacterial SSU rRNA". It matches the Rfam family "Bacterial small subunit ribosomal RNA", at positions 97 to 520 of the family's 1533-position model. The record is from RNAcentral.